Molecule: ribosomal RNA, 253 nt
Filed under: uncultured bacterium
Lineage: Bacteria
Description: partial 16S ribosomal RNA
Rfam family: Bacterial small subunit ribosomal RNA
Source: RNAcentral
UACAGAGGGUGCGAGCGUUGUCCGGAAUCACUGGGCGUAAAGGGCGCGUAGGCGGCCCGGUAAGGUUGCGGUGAAAGCCCGGGGCUCAACCCCGGGUCGGCCGCGGCAACUGCUGGGCUGGAGCACAGUAGAGGCGGGUGGAAUUCCGGGUGUAGCGGUGGAAUGCGUAGAGAUCCGGAAGAACACCGGUGGCGAAGGCGGUCUGCUGGGGUAAUGCUGACACUGAUGCGCGACAGCGUGGGGAGCAAACAGG